GGGUUGUGAGGUUAAGCGACUAAGCGUACACGGUGGAUGCCCUGGCAGUCAGAGGCGAUGAAGGGCGUGCUAAUCUGCGAUAAGCGCCGGUAAGGUGAUAUGAACCGUUAUAACCGGCGAUACCCGAAUGGGGAAACCCAGUGUGAUUCGUCACACUAUCAUUAACUGAAUCCAUAGGUUAAUGAGGCGAACCGGGGGAACUGAAACAUCUAAGUACCCCGAGGAAAAGAAAUCAACCGA
Molecule: ribosomal RNA, 240 nt
Filed under: Salmonella enterica subsp. enterica serovar Anatum
Lineage: Bacteria; Pseudomonadati; Pseudomonadota; Gammaproteobacteria; Enterobacterales; Enterobacteriaceae
Also listed under: 1 other name
Description: partial 23S ribosomal RNA
Rfam family: Bacterial large subunit ribosomal RNA
Source: RNAcentral